AUUGAACGCUGGCGGCAGGCUUAACACAUGCAAGUCGAGCGGUAACAGGGGGAGCUUGCUCCCUGCUGACGAGCGGCGGACGGGUGAGUAAAGCAUAGGAAUCUGCCCGGUAGUGGGGGAUAGCCCGGGGAAACCCGGAUUAAUACCGCAUACGCCCUAAGGGGGAAAGCAGGGGAUCUUCGGACCUUGCGCUAUCGGAUGAGCCUAUGUCGGAUUAGCUAGUUGGUGGGGUAAAGGCCUACCAAGGCGACGAUCCGUAGCUGGUCUGAGAGGAUGAUCAGCCACAUCGGGACUGAGACACGGCCCGAACUCCUACGGGAGGCAGCAGUGGGGAAUAUUGGACAAUGGGAGCAACCCUGAUCCAGCCAUGCCGCGUGUGUGAAGAAGGCCUUCGGGUUGUAAAGCACUUUCAGUCGGGAGGAAGGCCUGGCGGUUAAUACCCGUUGGGAUUGACGUUACCGACAGAAGAAGCACCGGCUAACUCCGUGCCAGCAGCCGCGGUAA
This 504-nucleotide ribosomal RNA is filed under the name uncultured bacterium. Its description in RNAcentral is "bacterial SSU rRNA". It matches the Rfam family "Bacterial small subunit ribosomal RNA", at positions 29 to 523 of the family's 1533-position model. The record is from RNAcentral.